RNAcentral lists this ribosomal RNA (305 nucleotides) under uncultured Glomus. RNAcentral describes it as "SSU rRNA". It matches the Rfam family "Eukaryotic small subunit ribosomal RNA", at positions 569 to 880 of the family's 1831-position model. Lineage: Eukaryota; Fungi; Glomeromycota; Glomeromycetes; Glomerales; Glomeraceae. The record is from RNAcentral.
AGCAGCCGCGGUAAUUCCAGCUCCAAUAGCGUAUAUUAAAGUUGUUGCAGUUAAAAAAGCUCGUAGUUGAAUUUCGAGAUCAAAUUGUUGGUCGUGCCUUGGUACGCACUGGCAUUAUUGGUUUCUCCCUUCUGAAGAACCAUGAUGUCAUUAAUUUGGUGUCUUGGGGAAUCAGGACUGUUACUUUGAAAAAUUGAGUGUUUAAAGCAGGCUCGCGCUUGAAUACAUUAGCAUGGAAUAAUGAAAUAGGACGUUUGAUUCUAUUUUGUUGGUUUCUAGGAUCGACGUAAUGAUUAAUAGGGAUA